RNAcentral lists this ribosomal RNA (492 nucleotides) under uncultured bacterium. Its description in RNAcentral is "partial 16S ribosomal RNA". It matches the Rfam family "Bacterial small subunit ribosomal RNA", at positions 30 to 507 of the family's 1533-position model. The record is from RNAcentral.
AUUGAACGCUGGCGGCAUGCUUUACACAUGCAAGUCGAACGGUAACAGGCCUUCGGGUGCUGACGAGUGGCGAACGGGUGCGUAAUGCAUCGGAACGUGCCCAGAGGUGGGGGAUAACGCAGCGAAAGCUGUGCUAAUACCGCAUGUGAUCUGAGGAUGAAAGCGGGGGACCAGGCAGCAAUGUUUGGCCUCGCGCCUUUGGAGCGGCCGAUGUCAGAUUAGGUAGUUGGUGGGGUAAAGGCCUACCAAGCCGACGAUCUGUAGCUGGUCUGAGAGGACGACCAGCCACACUGGGACUGAGACACGGCCCAGACUCCUACGGGAGGCAGCAGUGGGGAAUUUUGGACAAUGGGCGCAAGCCUGAUCCAGCAAUGCCGCGUGCGGGAAGAAGGCCUUCGGGUUGUAAACCGCUUUUGUACGGAACGAAAAGGCUCUGGCUAAUACCUGGGACUGAUGACGGUACCGUAAGAAUAAGCACCGGCUAACUACGUG